Molecule: ribosomal RNA, 374 nt
Filed under: uncultured organism
Description: partial 16S ribosomal RNA
Rfam family: Bacterial small subunit ribosomal RNA
Source: RNAcentral
GGGGGGGGCAAGCGUUUGUUCGGAUUUACUGGGCGUAAAGGGCUCGUAGGCGGCCAACUAAGUCGGUUGUGAAAUCCCUCGGCUCAACCGGGGAACUGCGACCGAUACUGGAUGGCUUGAAGCCGGGAGAGGGAUGCGGAAUUCCAGGUGUAGCGGUGAAAUGCGUAGAUAUCUGGAGGAACACCCGUGGCGAAGGCGGCAUCCUGGACCGGUCUUGACGCUGAGGAGCGAAAGCUAGGGUAGCAAACGGGAUUAGAUACCCCGGGUAGUCCUAGCUGUAAACGAUGAAUGCUUGGUGUGGCGGGUAUCGAUCCCCUGCCGUGCCGUAGCUAACGCGUUAAGCAUUCCGCUUGGGGAGUACGGUCGCAAGGCUG